ACCCUUUAAUGUUUGAUGUUCUAACGUGGACCCGUAAUCCGGGUUGCGGACAGUGUCUGGUGGGUAGUUUGACUGGGGCGGUCUCCUCCUAAAGAGUAACGGAGGAGCACGAAGGUUGGCUAAUCCUGGUCGGACAUCAGGAGGUUAGUGCAAUGGCAUAAGCCAGCUUGACUGCGAGCGUGACGGCGCGAGCAGGUGCGAAAGCAGGUCAUAGUGAUCCGGUGGUUCUGAAUGGAAGGGCCAUCGCUCAACGGAUAAAAGGUACUCCGGGGAUAACAGGCUGAUACCGCCCAAGAGUUCAUAUCGACGGCGGUGUUUGGCACCUCGAUGUCGGCUCAUCACAUCCUGGGGCUGAAGUAGGUCCCAAGGGUAUGGCUGUUCGCCAUUUAAAGUGGUACGCGAGCUGGGUUUAGAACGUCGUGAGACAGUUCGGUCCCUAUCUGCCGUGGGCGCUGGAGAACUGAGGGGGGCUGCUCCUAGUACGAGAGGACCGGAGUGGACGCAUCACUGGUGUUCGGGUUGUCAUGCCAAUGGCACUGCCCGGUAGCUAAAUGCGGA
RNAcentral lists this ribosomal RNA (558 nucleotides) under Salmonella enterica. Its description in RNAcentral is "partial 23S ribosomal RNA". It matches the Rfam family "Bacterial large subunit ribosomal RNA", at positions 2202 to 2759 of the family's 2925-position model. Lineage: Bacteria; Pseudomonadati; Pseudomonadota; Gammaproteobacteria; Enterobacterales; Enterobacteriaceae. The record is from RNAcentral.